This 406-nucleotide ribosomal RNA is filed under the name uncultured bacterium. RNAcentral's name for it is "partial 16S ribosomal RNA". It matches the Rfam family "Bacterial small subunit ribosomal RNA", at positions 29 to 526 of the family's 1533-position model. The record is from RNAcentral.
AUUGAACGCUGGCGGCAGGCCUAACACAUGCAAGUCGAACGAGUGGCGGACGGGUGAGUAAUGUAUGGGAAACUGCCUGAUGGAGGGGGAUACCUACUGGAAACGGUAGCUAAUACCGCAUACCAUCGGAUGUGCCCAGAUGGGAUUAGCUAGUAGGUGGGGUAAAGGCUCACCUAGGCGACGAUCCCUAGCGGGUCUGAGAGGAUGACCAGCCACACUGGAAAUGAGACACGGUCCGGACUCCUACGGGAGGCAGCGGGGGGGAAUAUGGCACAAUGGGCGCAAGCCUGAUGCAGCCAGGCCGGGGGGAUAAAGAAGGCCUUCGAUUUGUAAAGUACUUUCAGCGGGGAGACGUUACCCGCAGAAGAAGCACCGGCUAACUCCGUGCCAGCAGCCGCGGUAAUUC